This is a long non-coding RNA of Gekko japonicus, 651 nucleotides long. RefSeq lists it as uncharacterized. The transcript is spliced from 8 exons. Lineage: Eukaryota; Metazoa; Chordata; Lepidosauria; Squamata; Gekkonidae. The record is from RefSeq and is a predicted model, not a curated record.
ACCGCACGUUCUUUAUUCGGGCAGUAAUGGGUCGGUUCGUUGGAAGUCGCCAUUUUGGAGGAGUACAGACGAUUUAGUUACGACCUCUCCUCAGCGAUCGUAGGGCUGAUGCGUAAGGGGAAUUCGAAGUACCCAUGGGGGCUAGAUGCUGUUCUGGUGUUGUCACGUUGCAUACAAGGAAAGGAGAUUGCAAAACUUCCUGAAGGGGAACGAAAAAGAAUGAAUGUGUUCUCUGGUACGCAGUUAUAAAAGUGGCCAUCAGGCUGUUAACAUGCUGCUGAAAUUGCUGCCUACAAAGGUUAGCAGCUGAGGUCUAGGCAACGUCUGGGAUUGACUUGAUGUAGGGACCAUCUGCUGCUGCUUCUUAAAUUACCAUAAAAGCAAUGGUAUAACUUCAUUGGUGUCACGCAUGUCAAAGAACUAGGAAAAGAGCUGUGUAUGUCACUGAUCUUCCAACUUCAGAAUUGCAGAAGAUUGUGCGUGCUGCAGAAUUUGAAAGGAACUACAACAGCAGAAAACAUUCCUGAAGUGAAGUUAAUUUGGUGUCAGGAAAUCAGCUGAAGUCUUCCUGUGUGUACUUCAAUCAGCCUCGAGACUUGAGAGAUCUGUCUGGGAAUUAGCAGUGCAAUAAAUCUAAAACUUUGGAAUUAA